This 911-nucleotide long non-coding RNA is filed under the name Canis lupus familiaris (dog). RNAcentral's name for it is "lncRNA (ENSCAFG00805027036.1, ENSCAFG00845021070.1)". Lineage: Eukaryota; Metazoa; Chordata; Mammalia; Carnivora; Canidae. The record is from RNAcentral.
CCCACCGUGCCCCCGCCCCUUCCACGCUGGAGCCCCCCCACGCUCCUGCCCCUCCCAGCCGGUGCUGGCCGCCGCACGGGACUUCCUAGGCCCCCUCCCCACAUGGCAGCCCUACCCCUGCACAAGACCGGUCCUGCACGGUGCCCCCGAGAGGGUGGACCAGAGGCCCCCGCCGCCGGGAGAGGCCUAAGGAAGCGUCGGAGGCCAGGACUGCCCCUCUACAAACGCUCCUUGCUUCCAGGGCAGGUUCUUCCUCCCCUGGGAAGUCUUCCCUGAUUGCCCCUUGAAUCCAUCCUUCCAGCUUGGGUUUCUGGGUCAGAGCAGCCGGGUUCCCCAGCCGCCCUUGCUCCGUGCUCUCCCCCGGGGCUCAGCGUGGGAGCCGGUGGGGGUCAGAAGCCAGUCAGCGGGUCGGGUGUGAUGCUGGGCUAGGACCUACCCGGCUCUCGGGGGGAUGCCUCCUGUGCCCACAGGCCCUGAGGCUCCCAUGCCAGCAGGGCAGAGAGGGCGACUGAGUCAAAUCCAGGCUGACCCCAGCCCACUUGUGUUCCCCAAACGCCUGCCUGACCGGAGGCUCGGGUACCCUACAGCCUUCUCAGGAAACAUCAGGGGACCUCACAUGGCCUUCAUCCACACAGUACCCCCCGUCCAGCCCUGCCAGAGGCAUGUGGCAUAGGGCAGAUUUUGCCCCCAGCCAGCUACGUGGCCUUGGACAAGCCGCGUCGUCUUUUGGAGCCAUAAUCCUGAGAAUCGUCAGGUGUCACUGCAGAGAGCGUACGUGACGGGCCCCAGAGUAGAUGGGAGUUCUGUGGGCAGAGGCAGGUCGGGUAGCAAUGAUUCUAGGUCGGAAUGGGAUGCCUGGGACCGCGCCGAGGCACCGCUUCUGGGCCAGUGUCGCGAUGAAGGACGCAGGC